This 106-nucleotide non-coding RNA is filed under the name Riemerella anatipestifer. RNAcentral's name for it is "SAM-I sequence". It matches the Rfam family "SAM riboswitch aptamer (S box leader)". From Rfam's summary of the family: The SAM riboswitch is found upstream of a number of genes which code for proteins involved in methionine or cysteine biosynthesis in Gram-positive bacteria. Lineage: Bacteria; Pseudomonadati; Bacteroidota; Flavobacteriia; Flavobacteriales; Weeksellaceae. The record is from RNAcentral. RNAcentral also lists the same sequence under 1 other name.
AUGUUAUCAAGAAAGGUGGAGGGAAUAGACCCUGUGAAACCUUGGCAACCCUUCCUUAACGGAAGAAGGUGCUAAAUUCUACCAAAGUUUUUUGGAUAGAUAACAU